Molecule: long non-coding RNA, 14120 nt
Filed under: Gadus morhua (Atlantic cod)
Lineage: Eukaryota; Metazoa; Chordata; Actinopteri; Gadiformes; Gadidae
Description: lncRNA (ENSGMOG00000005695.2)
Source: RNAcentral
GGAUCUUGGAGACCAUGGAUAUUUAGUUGAGGGAAGAUUUGAAACAACAAAAGAACGCACCUUGUCCAAAAGCAUACCAUACAAAUAUGUUGUCUACAAGGCCAAAAAGGAGAAAUAUGAGUAUGAAUACAUUUACAAAUUGGAUUCAGAGCAACCUACGAAUCGAUGCUUGUUUGUGAAGUCCGGACUCCUCAAUGAGGAAGGGGACUGGCAUCAGUAUGAUGACAUCAUCUGUACAGCACCAUCCAAGGAUAUAUUCAAACGCUUGAAAAACGCUUUUCGGUCUGAGCAAAGGAAAAGUGUCGUUGAAGGCAAAGAGAUUGCAGGGAACAUCAUGCUAGACACCAUAUUCGACCUCCUUCGGAAUUGGACCGACAUCAACUUGAAGAAUUUCCUCAUCCAAUUGAAACAGUUCUUUGACAUUUAUGCAAAUCCGUUUGUGUAUGAAGACACGCACAAGAGGUGGAACUCUCUAGAAUAUGGAGAAAAAGAAGUCCGGGUGUUGAUCAAGCAAUUCAUGCUGACAAAAGUGAUUCCUCAGUUGGAUAAAGACGGAGAUGGGAAGAUGGUUCUCUUCGUCAAAGAUCCCAUGAGGGCAGCAGUAAUCAUGCUGCAUGUGUGCCAUCAUUAUGGUAUCAAACUGAAUGCAGCAGAACAUAGUCGACUCUGCCAAGCCCUGUGCUUUCCAAAGCUCAACAAAGAAGAGUUUCUCCAGUAUUGGGACAAAUUGUCACAUAGUGUCUCUCGUCUUAAAGAGUAAGUAGUCUUAUUUUCAUAUCUUGAGCACUUCAUUUAAACUCAAAUGUAUCCUAUAAAAGGUUGUUAAUUUAAUUGGAGGGAUGGAUACAUUUUCAAUAACCUAGGAGGAAAUAUCUCCUGCAUUAAUAUGUGUUCUUGCUUUAGUACUUAUUGUACGGGAACCAUGACUGUUCUUUGUUUUAAUUUGUUCAGUCUGCCAAAUCUGCUGGUAUCGCUGAUACAUUUUAUGAGAGCGGAGAGACUACAUCGGUGGAUUUUGGUGCUUCCUCUUCUCCACCUCCUCCAGAGUACCUCCAAGCCUUUCCAUCCACUUCCUGUCUCCAAGCCUGACCUAUCUUGGACAGGUUUGGAGGGUACAGGAUUCAAACAAGCAGACUGCCACGGUCAGGAAAAACAGGCUUUACAAAACCUGAUGAGCCAUAAUAAACAUUUAGUGGAGAUUGACCCACUGACCGCCCGAUCCUGGAUGUGUCUGAUGUCCCUUGAUCAACUGGUUAAGUGCAGCCUCAUCACGAACACCCAGUUGUUGGACUUCCUUCAUAUCUUUUACGCAAAGACUCUCGACAUCACCUACAGCAAUAACGAGGUUGUAUCCGACAUUCUCUCGCAUGUUCAGCAGUGUCUUAUUGAGCACAAGUACAGUUCUUCUAGCAUAGUUUACGGCAGAGAGUGCGUCACAGCAGCGGUGAAAAUGCUGGAGAAGAUCUGCAAAAUGGUCAAACAUAGUCAGACCUUCGCGGAAAUUCCAGUGGCGUGCUUGAAUCUCGUCGCACUGGUUGCUGACUUCCGAGACCAGAACCAGGUGGCUCAAGAUGGGACAAAUGACGAGCAGUACGCAAAAGACCUGGAGCUGUUACACCAAGCAAUGACCAUCAUGAGAGACUGGAUCUGUCAGACCUUCAAGAAGACUUCCUUUCUUAAUUCCAACUUCCUCUCAGGCAAUAGUUCUGAGAAUGAAAUACAAAUGUGGGAAAAUGUCAUCACGCUCAAUUUAAAAAAUGAAGAUUUUAAAAUGGACUGGAGGAAGACGUUCACAGGGGAUUUGGAGGGCACAUUCCAGAAGGAAUCAGCGCAGGAUCAGAUUGAAUUCUACUGCUCAAAGACCGAAGUACUCAGUCGUUCUCAUCCAAACGUGGCUGCUGUUAUCGAGAAGUGUGCUUUAGAGGCGGUCACCUCACUGUGCGAGGCAAAGAAGGAGGGGACACUGUUUACAAAAUUUAAAAUCAACUGGAAUUUUGGAAAACUCAUUUCGGCCAUCAUUCAGAAGUCAUGGCCAAAGGACAGCCAAGGAAGGAAUCCGGAGGAAGAGGUUUUUAGACACAUCCUCUCUUGGACGGCUGCCAAAGAUGUUUUCAAACUACAUGGAGCAAAUGAGAAGCUGAUUGAGAAGCUCACAGAAGAGGCUAGAGAAAGAUUGGCGGUAGCAAUAUCUACUUUCACAGCCAUCACCGAUCAGCUGGUCAAGGGAAAAAUUAAGAUCAACCUACUCAAGUUCCUCUUGGAAAGACGGCACGCCUUCUUAGCAUUGCUGAGAAUCGAUUGUCUCGCAGAAGAUCCUGAGUAUCAGGACGAGGAUAGAAUGUGUACGUUGUUGAGGCAUAGAUACGAUGAGAUGAAAGCUGUGUACAAUGAAAAGGAUCUGGUCGAUGUCGUUGUGAAAAUGAGCCACAAACUGGAAGAACAUAUGACAGUUGAUAUCGGUAACCUGGAAGCAAGCCAACUGAGCAGCAUUGAGGCCAAGAGCCUUAACAAUUUCAUGGAGGUUCACACAUUCGACCCGCAGUCCCACCCCCCAAUGGCUGGUGUGGUGACGUACUACGAUCUUGACGAAGACAUCAGAGAAAUGGCUGUUGUCCUGAACACCCACAAAGACAGCUACUUGUUCAUAGGUUGCUGGGAAAAACAGGCAAGGCAAUAUGUAGACCCUGAGGUGCCUGGUGUUGCUGAUAUAAUGGCCACACCGAUCAUGAUACAUGAUGACAUAUUCCAGCCCUCUCAUGAUGAGUAUCAAAACAUAUAUCGUUGCCUGAUGGAUGGCAGCAUAAAGCUCAGGGAGGUUGACACACUCUUCAAAGAUUACACCGGGAAGUACAACGAACUUGAGAAGGACUUUGACAUAAUGUGCAGAGUGGACGUUUCAAAUGACAAACAGUGGAUCAAGCAGAGGGCUCUGCAGAUUCAGCAGUACCACGAACUCCAUCUUGCCGUGGAGUCGGCUAAAGCGAUCAUGCUUGUCAAGGAGACACUUGGUCUUCAAGGUGACUUCAGUAUCCUGCAGACAUUGCUGGAAGUUACGAAUGUAGCCUUUAAAGAAGGACCCCUGAAUCGAAUUGACGAUAACUUGAAUCAGGCCAAGAUGGUUCUCGUGGACAUCAAUUCUUCACGCAGACACUGUCUACAACAGUUGGGACAGAGAGGACUAUUUGUCCAUUGGGUAAAGGAAGCCCUCGAAGACAUCAAUGAGCUGAAGGUGUUUGUUGACCUGGCCUCCAUUUCCGCUGGAGAGAAUGACUUGGAUGUGGAUCGCGUUGCUUGCUUUCACGAUGCUGUCCUUGGCUACUCGCCACUGCUCUACGACCUCAAGAAGGACUCAGGGUUUCAAACCUUCAAGGAUGUGCUGAAGAAACUCUGGAGAGCUUUGGAGAAUGACAGUGACUUGCCCAAGAAACUGGUCGACACUGCACGCCAUCUGGAAUGGCUUAAGACGGUGAAGGAGAGUCAUGGCUCAGUGGAACUCUCCUCUCUUUCUUUAGCAUCCUCCAUCAACACCAAGGGCACCUAUGUGAUCAGUGCACGUAACGUAAAGAGGUUGAGCCUUGACACGGCCUUGAAGCUGCGGAUUCCAGAGGAGCACGACGAGGGUCAGGAAAUGCGCUGGUACACGCUUGAAGACCUACGGGAGCUCCAGAACAAACUCAUGCUCAUGUCUGGGAAAGACCAGGGCCAGCAUGAGGUGGACCACUUUGCAGAGGUCUUUGCCAAUGUCCAAAGACUAGCUGAGGCUUUCAUUGCGUUGUACACAGCUGGGAACCCUCUAUUCAGAAGCUGGGAAGCGUACAUCAAUUGCAGCUUCAGCAAUGAAGCGUCCAGUAUCAUUAUUGACUUCAACCUUGACAAUGUGUCUGAUGUCAUUGCCGUGGAUGGAAAAAUUGACAUUCAGCUUCCCGAGUUGUGCAAGAAAAUUGAGAAGUGCCUCAAUUAUUGGAAGGACUUUGUGGACAAGCAAAGAUCCCAACAUUACUACCUUAACUAUUACACAGCUGAACAGAUUGUAUACCUGUGCAGUAAGCUAUCUCCGCAAAAUGUGGCUGAUUUGGAGGUUGAGGUUUUAAUGAUGCUCUCUUUUGUCAAGCCAAAUUGUACUGCAAAAGAUCUGAGAGAGGUCUGGCAUGCACUCCAGUACGAUAUCCUCACCAACCAAGAAGAACCAAACCUAGACAUUGAAUUUCACACUUUUGUUGAAGUGCCAGAAAAUUUGAUGGGGGAUUCCUCAAUCACAGGGGACUGGGUUCUUCUCAUGGAAAAGACAAAUUGUUCCCAAAAAUUUGAUUUACUCUGGAAUAGUUACAUGAAGGACAUGAGGGGUUUUCUUCCACAUAUUCUCGACAUAAAAGGCCUCGGUAAAUUAUUGGAAAAACUGGCCAACAAACGAAGCAAAGGGAAUUCGUUCAUAACAAGAGUAAUGCCGAAUGGCCUGACUACUGGGAAUCCCAACCUCAUUGUCUGCUCACAGGAAGAGGUCUUCAACACUUGCCUCUCCAUUUACAUGAGCGAUGAAAAUGAGGCGCUGCCCACUUAUGACGAAGUCCUACUAUGCAACUCCUCAACAUCUUAUGAACAAGUGGAGCUGUUCCUGAGACGCUGUCUCACCCCUGGCUAUAGCGGACGAAAGAUCUACACUCUGCUCUACGGUGACCUUCUGACCUACGACGUGAGCUCCAAAGUCGAGGGUUUCUUCCAGCGUAUGAAACUGCAACGGAGGGAGCAUUACAGACUAGUCAUGGUCUGCAGCUCAGAGCGUGAACAUGCAUAUAUUCCCUCGGCCUUCAGUCAAUACCGCUUGCACAUGGUCCCUCAGGAGCCUACAGCCAGGAUUCAGAGUUACCUGAGCAGUCACUAUCGUGUCCCCGCAGAUGAGUGCAGCGCUGCAGCUGUGUUCAGAGACCGACUCUCUGUUGGAGUUGUGUCAUCGGAGAGAGCUGGCGUGGGUAAAUCCCUCUAUGUGAAGAGACUACAUGGGAAACUGAAGCGAUCGAGCAAAAAGCCAUCAGUGUUAAAAUGCAUUCGCUUGAUUGAACCAAAGGUUGACGAGAAUUCCAUCCUUCAGUCUCUGCUGGAAAGCACCAAGAAAAGUGAUUUGACAAUAUUCCAUUUAGAUGUCACGUCAUCGGUCCGGAAAGGCCUUCAAGACUUUUUAUUUAAAUUGCUGAUCCUUCGUUAUCUGAUGGACUCUGAGGGGAUGAUGUGGAAGUGCUGCAACAAGCAGUUGUAUCUCGUUGAAAUCUUGAGAUCAGCAAUAAAACUCCCCAGUAAUGUUUCACGUCAGAGCCAAACUAUGGACGGCUCGUUCAUAGAUUGGUUUCCUAACAUCUUCUGCCGACCACCUAAAGAAGUGUUGAUGCUAGAGAUGAAGAAGAACGAGGUUCCUGCCCUCUUCAACAUUGACGAGCCACUGAUGGACGAUGAAGAAUUCAGGAGUGAAGCCUUCCAAAGGCCAUAUCAAUACCUCACACAAUUCCAUAACCGCAGAGAUCUCGACACCUUCAAAUACAAUGCUGUUGAAGGGUCACACGUGGAGUGUCUUCAAAUGCUCCUCAUGUUCUGUGGAGUCAUGGAGCCCUCAUGGGCAGAGAUCAGAAACUUUUCCUGGUUUCUAAACCUCCAGCUAAAAAACUGUGAGACAUCUGUUUUUUGUGACUUUGAUUUAGUUGGUGACACUCUGAAAGGAUUCAAGAGCUUCGUUGUUGACUUCAUGAUUCUAAUGGCGAAGGACUUUGCCACACCAUCACUCAGCAUCUCUGACCAGAGUCCUGGAAGACUUCAGUUUGACGCGAGUGGCCUGCGUGAAGAGGAUUUGGCCCCUUUUCGGAUCAGGAAGCGAUGGGAGUCAGAAUCACACCCAUACAUCUUCUUCAACGGUGACCAUGAGUCCAUGACCUUCAUUGGCUUCCAUCUUCAGCCUAAUGUAAAUAACUUUGUGGAUGCCAUCGACCCCACUUCCAAGAGGAUAAUAAAGAAAGACAUCAUGACUAAGGAGCUGUUUGAUGGCCUAACGUUACAGAGAGUUCCGUUCAACAUCAACUUUGAUCAACUACCAAGAGGGGAAAAGAUUGAAAGAAUCUGCAAUGUCCUUGGAAUCCAGUGGCCCCUUGAUCCCGACGAAACAUAUGAGCUCACAACUGACAACAUCCUCAAAAUUUUGGCAAUCCACAUGCGAUUCAGGUGUGGCAUCCCUGUCAUUAUUAUGGGCGAGACAGGUUGUGGCAAGACUAGGCUCAUCAAAUAUCUGUGUGAAUUGCAAAGAUGUGGAGUGGCUACCGAGAACAUGAAACUGGUCAAAGUCCAUGGAGGAACAAGUUCAGAUAUAAUCUACACCAAAGUCAGAGAAGCUGAAGCGAUAUCUUUGACAAACAAAGAAAACUAUGGCUUUGAUUCUGUCCUGUUCUUUGAUGAGGCAAACACAACAGAGGCUAUCAGCAGCAUCAAGGAGAUCAUUUGUGACCAUACCGUGAAAGGUGAAAGUUUGACACCCAACUGUGGAUUGCAAAUAAUAGCAGCAUGCAACCCUUAUCGAAAACACACAGAGGAAAUGAUUACAAAACUAGAGUCUGCUGGCCUUGGUUAUCGAGUCCGAGCUGAGGAGACGGAUGAAAAGCUUGGUUCCAUCCCACUCCGCCAAUUAGUUUACAGAGUUCAGGCCUUGCCACCAAGUAUGAUUCCUCUGGUGUGGGAUUUUGGACAACUGAAUGACAACACAGAGGAAAUUUACAUUCAACAGAUUGUGCAGAGAGUAGUUGGACUCAAAGCAAUCAAUGGAGAAUACAUCAAGAUCAUCUCAGAUGUCCUUGCAGCUUCUCAGAGAUAUAUGCGAAAAAGAAAAGAUGAGUGCAGCUUCGUCAGUCUGCGGGAUGUGGAGCGCUGCAUGCAAGCCUUCAUCUGGUUCUAUGAGAACCACGCCAUGUUCUUCACGGAACUUGAACAAUUUGAGCCAAAACAGCGGGAGCUGAAGAAUGAAGUACCGCAGAGAGACAGAGCGGUUCGAGACCCUGUCCUUUGGUCUCUGAUCAUGGCUGCAGGGGUCUGCUACCAUGCCUGCUUGGAAAAAAAAGAGAAAUACAGACAGAAUAUCUGUAAAAAGAUGAACUGCACCCCCGUCAGAGUAAUGCAGGAAAUCUCACUUAUGCAGGAUCUACUUUUAAGUGGGGUGCCUAUGGGAGAAACAAUUGCAAAAAACAGUGCACUCAAAGAGAAUGUCUUCAUGAUGGUCCUAUGCAUUGAACUUAGGAUUCCCCUAUUUUUGGUUGGAAAACCUGGAAGUUCAAAAUCUCUCUCCAAAACUCUUGUGGCAGAUGCAAUGCAAGGCCAAGCAGCUCACAGUGAGCUCUUCAAAAAGUUGAAACAAAUCCAUUUGGUGUCCUUCCAGUGUAGCCCUCAUUCAACCCCAGAGGGCAUCAUUAACACAUUCAAGCAAUGUGGUCGUUUCCAAGAAGGCAAGAACCUAAAUGAGUACAUUUCUGUUGUGGUAUUGGAUGAAAUUGGGUUGGCCGAAGACUCUCCUAAAAUGCCGCUCAAAACACUUCAUCCUUUACUAGAGGAAGGGUGCAUUGAUGAUGAACCACUGCCUCACAAGAAAGUUGGUUUUAUCGGCAUUUCCAACUGGGCUCUUGACCCUGCAAAGAUGAACAGAGGCAUCUUUGUCUCACGCGGUGACCCUGAUUUGACAGAGCUCCUUGAGAGUGCAAAAGGCAUAUGCUCAUCUGAUGCAAUGCUCCUGGAGGCGGUAAGAGAUCUCUUCCAGCCCUUUGCGCAGGCCUACUUGAAUGUCUGCCAAAAUCAAGGAAAGGGCUUCUUUGGUCUACGUGACUACUAUAGCUUGGUCAAGAUGAUUUUUGCAAUAACCAAAGGUACUCGACAGAAGCCCAGUGGGUCGAAAAUUGUUGAGGCAGUGUUGAGGAACUUCAGUGGCAAAGACAAUGACAACGUACUCUCUGUUUUCACUGGUAGGCUUAAAAUCGCACCCAAUCUUGAGAGCAUUGACGUGACUGAGCUUGUGAGACAGAACAUUUUGGCGAGCGGACAGGAAGAGUGCAGAUACUUGCUGGUUCUGACUAAGAAUUACGCUGCCCUGCAGAUCUUGCAGCAGACCUUCUUCUCAGAAAGCGAUCAGCCUGAAAUCAUCUUUGGCUCCAGCUUCCCAAAAGAUCAAGAGUACACCCAAAUAUGUCGCAACAUCAACCGAGUGAAGAUCUGCAUGGAAACGGGGCGCACCGUUAUCCUCCUGAACUUGCAGAACCUUUACGAAAGUCUCUAUGAUGCUCUUAACCAGUACUACGUCUAUCUCGGAGGACAAAAAUACGUAGACCUUGGACUCGGAACCCAUCGUGUCAAAUGCAGGGUGCAUCAGGACUUCAGACUCAUCGUCAUCGAGGAAAAGGAGGUUGUCUACAAGCAGUUCCCAAUACCACUCAUCAACCGGCUAGAGAAGCACUACCUGGACAUCCACACUGUCCUCAAGAAGGAGCAGAAGAGUACUGUGAAGAAGUUGGAAAGAUGGGUGGAGCAGUUUGUUUCUCUCAGCAAACAACCCACAGUGGGGCCUCAGACGUACAAGUACCAAGCACCAGACGUCUUCAUCGGCUACCAUUCGGACACAUGUGCUUCAGUGAUUCUUCAAGCGAUUGAAAGGAGCAGGCAGGAUCUGGAAACAUCUGAAACAUCCGAAGCAGAUAUACUGCGAGCAUCUGAACUGGUGCUGCUGAACUGUGCCACACCUGACUCAAUAGUGCGCCUAGAUUGCACAAUGCUCCCAAAGGUCGAAAGUGAAAGACUGUCUCAAGUGUACUUUGAAGAGCAGAAUACCAGUUGUUUGGCUGACUACAUCCUUGCUCACAUGAACCAGGAUACCCAUUGGCAUGCCUCCUUCACUGAGGUGACUACUUUCUCCAGGCUUCUCACAGCCUCAGACUUGGAACAACUGGAGCAGUUACCUCAUGCUGUGGAGCUGUUAUCCCUGCAGCAGUUUGAAACAGAGCAGUCUUUCCUCAAGAAGAUCAGGUUUAUCCUCAUCAUUCAGAGUGAUUUUGAUGAAGCAUCUCACAGUGCACAUCUUAUUGCAUCUGCAAAGUAUUCAUCCCUGAAUGAAAUGAACAAGAUCACACAAGCUAUUGUGGAGAACAAUAUAUUUGUCUACUUCAUCACCAAACUGCCAAGGAUGGAAGGGGGAACUUCUUACGUUGGCUUUCAUGGAGGGCCAUGGAAAUCGGUUCAUAUUGAUGACCUGCGGAAAUCCGAGGAUAUCGUAGCAGAUAUCAAGGCUCUGCGAAACCUAACAAUCAGUGAACUGUUUGACGAAAACCGAACUAAGCCCGAAGGUAAAAAUGUGCGAUGUGCCUGUAUACCUUUCGCCAUUCAACAAUAUUUUUUUCAAUAUCUCAUGAAAUGUUUUGAUUGUUUACAGCAAUGGAGCAGGAUGAAAUGUAUUCUGAUGGAUUCCAACACAUCACAGAAGUUGAAAACCAAUUGCUGUGUGCAGAGUGCAGUGGGCCUGCUGAGGGACCAAGUAGAGAACGGCUACCGCACCUCUUUAAGAUUUAAUUUAUAUGUGCAGACUUCUGUCAACUGGGUGAUAAAGGAGGCCUCAAAUAUUGAUGCCUUGCAGGAAGGAGGAACAUUCAGGCACACACUAUGGAAGCGUAUCCAGGCGGUUGUCAUUCCUUACCUAGCCCAGCUGGUCUCCGUCAUCGACCGAGAUCAAAAUCUGGACAUUUUGCUUGACACCAACUGCAAUGAGCCUCUCAAGACAUUGUGGCUUGACAUCUUUGGCGCAGAGAAGCUGUUGGAAGUGCCAUCCUCUGCGACAAGAAGCAUCCUGGUGCAAAACUGCUUUGCUCUAGACAAGAACCUCAGCUGCAUCAUGCCCUUCAGCUGGAGGAUAAAGGACUACCUGGAGGAGCUCUGGGUUUAUAGUCAGUUUGAUGAGUUCUUCUGGAGGACUCCCCUCGGUCGAUCCAUCGCGAAAGCAAGCCCGGAGAUGCAGUCCGAGUUUUUCCAGCGAUACCUACAGGACUUUAUCUCCAUGACGAUGAAUGUCAGGUCCCAGGAAAACCUUCAGGUUAUCCUUCGCAGAGCUCUGAACUGCUGUGUUAAUGAGAUGCAGUCGCGGGCAAUGGAGACUGAUAAGGAGGGGACCUCUCUUCCCUGGGUCCAUGCUGCCUACCACGAGUUUAAGAACCGAUUGCAGAACUUCGCCAGGAUGGUCAACCUUGAGCCGAGGAUUACCCAGGUCCUCCUGAACCAGCAAGCUCAGGAAGGGGCAGAGUUGGUUCUUGAUAUCUAUGCUGCAAUAGCCUGCGUUGAGUAUCUGGAACCCACGCAACUGGAAACUGAUGGGCAGAGGCAAGCCUGGCUGAGACAGGUGAAAAAGCUCCAGGUUCCCAUUGAGUUGAUAUGCUCUCAAGACAGUUCUACUUCUUAUAAUGUUCUUAUGUUUAGGAAUGGGUGGAACCGCAUUUUUACCAUGUCGCUGUUUGUGGAGCACAUGUUGCUGGGUGAUGAGGAGGCCGAGAUGAAUCUGAAGCCUUUGGUUCUGGACCACAUGAGAGUUCUUGGGCAGAUCCUGGAGAGGAAUUCAGACCUAAAAGAGCGGCAGGCGUUUGAGGAGGUGAUUGGUGUACUCAAAGCCUGCAAAGAUAAAGUGGUAGAGGGCAUCUUCAGGUUUGGCCCCCAACGGUGCCCUGUGUGUAUGAUGGACCCUCAAGAUCCCCUCAGCCUGCCCUGUGACCACAUCUACUGCGUGGCCUGCAUCAAAAAAUGGCUGGGCCCUGGUCAGAUGUACUGUCCCUUAUGCAUGCAGCCUGUCCCUGAAGACUUCUCCACAACGCCUUCGGAGGAAUUAAGGUUUCAAACCAAUCAACAUGCCAAGUUCAGGAAGCAGUGCAAUGCUUUCUUCAUAGACCUGGUUUCCACCAUGUGCUUCAAGGACAACACCCCGCCCUGUUCAGCCAUCGUCCUCCAUCUGCUGUCAUUCCUCAUGCUGGAGGCCAAACCCCUCCCCAUAUUUAGAGGGGAUCGACAAAUUCUGACCAAGGUCCUCUCGCCGUUUGACGAGUCUGUGGACAAAAACCCAGUGGUGCGCUCCUUUGUCCUCAAACUGCUGCUGAAGUUCAGCUUUGAGCAGGUGAAAGGCUACCUGCAGCAGCAUCUGACCGAAGUGGAGAAGAGCCUCAUCUUGGAACCGACUGAUAAAACCGAACUGUACUCCAUGUACAUUAACUGCCUGGAGGUAUGCAUGGGGGCAUACAUCUGCUUUGAAUUGUUUCACCUUGGUUUUAUUUUUGCCUGUUUGUAUGCUUUUCAAUCAAUAUUUGUUUUAUUCCCACCCCUAAUCCGUCUCAUUUAUUAUGCUGGCGUUCUCUUCAAUGUUUUACUUCCUGGACGCCGUGGUGAAGCUGUGCAUUCAGAGCAACAACGACUGGUUCCGCGUCUACCUGAUCCGCAAGAUCUGCACUCAACAGGGCGUGGAGUUUGUCCAGAGUCUCCUCAAAGUGGAGGCUGUGCACUGACGUGCAAGUGCUUGCCACAAACGAAGGCGGUGUAUCUUCUGUUGGCCCUCUUCAGAGAAGUCACCUCUCUCUACGGAAAUGCCAACGCUAGUCGCCAUCCCACACCCGAGCAAUGCCGAGUCUUGGUGACUCACAUCGAUGCUUGCGGACUCCUGCAACGCGCCGAGAUGAAGAACUUUGCGAAGGCCUUGGUGGCCAACCGUCUGGGGCCCUUGGCCGCCGUCCCCGGGGCCCCCGGGGGUCACUGUGCGGUGGUGGAGCUGACGGUCCACAUGGCCUCGGUCCUUCUCUGCGCCAACCAGAGGAUCCUCGUUCCCCUUCAGAACCUGGCCCUGUCAACAGGGAACAUGCAACGAGCCUUCCUGCCCACCAUGCCAGAGGACAUGUUGUUUGUAGCUCAACAGGCCAUGGGAGCGUGUGGUCAACCCAUGGAACAAAGCCGUUGUCCGGACUGCGGCGCGGCCAUCGGAGGAAACGAGCACAGACCUGUGGCUGGAUUCACUGCUGCUCAAGCAGCGGGCGACCGCACCCAGACGGGCCAUGUCCUCGGAGACCCGGUGCGCAGGGACAACCCGGACACCCUGGACACCAAGAACAUGUCCCCGGGGCCCUUCACCCUGGUGCGCAUGCUCACCCACAUGGCCAUGCUGUAUGGAGCCAGCAUCAACCCACAGCUCAUCGCUCAGAUCAUCAAACCUCCGGUGGCUAAUCCAGGAGCCUUCCUGUUGGCCCACCUGCUGAAGGACAUGGAGCAUCUGACCAAGUCUCUGGGGAAGGGGACGGACGACACCAUCCACACGGUUCACCUGUUGCUCUGCGGCCUGCUGGAGCCUCACCAGGUUCAACAAUGGCCCGAUCCUUACGACAACCAUCUCUCCACCAAAGACCACAGGAACGGCUGGGAGAUGUCCGUCAGCAACACCAUCAUCAUACCUCAACUGAAGCACCUGGACAGACGGCUGAAGGAGGCCAACGACCUGGUCCGGGCCGACGCCCGUGUGUCCUGUGACCCCGUCUUCAAGCUGAUGUUCGGGGACCCGCGCCUCUUCCUGGCCUCCCUGCGCCGCGGCUCCCUGAUCCACGGCCAGGCGGUGUGGAGCUGCAGGGAGGAGCUCUCCCUGCUCAGCCUCACGCACAUCGUGGAGCAGCACGACGGCAAAGACACGCUGCCCCUCCUCUGGAGGUUCCUCCAGAGGGAGGCGGAGCUGCGCUUCGUGAAGUUCCUUCCAGACAUCCUAACACUCCAGAAGGACCUGGUGAAGAAGUUCCAGAACAUCAGCGACCUGCCCUUCAGAACUAUCGGCGACUUCCUCAACAGUCAGAAACCAGUGUUACUCAGAGGUUGGUACGAGAGAUGCAUCACCAUCUUCCUGGCCACCUGGAAUAAACUCAGGGCUUCCUUGGCAACAAAUGGAGAGAUUAAGAUCCCGGCAGAGCUGUGCGAAGAAGACCUGGACAUGGACAGUGACCUCACGGUGCUGUUGCCACGGAGACAGGGCCCAGGGCUGUGCUCUACAGCCCUGGUCAGCUACCUGAUCGCCCUGCACAACGAGAUCAUCAAAUGUGUGGACAAGCACACCGGAGAACACACCAGCUACGAGGUGAGCCCCGCCGACCUGACGGACCAGCAGGUGAUCCGCUACGAGCUGGACCAGGAGCUGAUGCCGCUGGUGCUCGCCAACAGCCAGUACAGCCUGGAGCGAGGCAAGGAGACGCUGCACGAGUACGACCUGGCCAAGAUCCAGCAGCAGGUCCUCACCCACUUCCUGCAGGGCCGGCCAAUCAUCACCCUCCAGGGCAUUCCGACCCUGGUGAACAGACACGAGCGGGACUACGUGAUCAUUCUGAAGGACGUCAAAGAGAAAGUGGAGCAGGUGAGAGGACCCCUGAUGGCGUCCUGCCUGGCGGCGGAGCUGCAGUCGUACAGCGAGGUGUGCGAGGCCCUGACCACGGUGGAGGUGGCCCUGGGCUUCCUGGCCAUGACGGGGGGGGACCCCCACAUGCAGCUGUCCUGUUACCUGGAGGAGGUGCUGCAGAUGAAGGACCAGACGGCCCCCCACGUCCUCAAGGUUAGCCCGUCGGCCCUGACUGUGUGCCGGCUGAGGCACUGUGUGGCCCUGUGGCAGCUCCUCACCUCGCUCAAGUCCCAGAACAUGAUGCGGCUCAAGAGGGAUCCGUUCGCGGCGUUCCCCGGGGCCUACAAGCAGCCUCUGAGCGACGAGGAUCGCAGGCUGCUGUCAGGGUUCUUUGUGAAGCCCGUCGCCGAAGGCUUCCUGCUGGAGAUGCACGAGUUCCUCGUGCUGGAGCUGAAGAACCCCCACGCCCCUGACAAGUACCGACCGGCCUGGGGGCUGAGAGACACGGUGGUGUCCUACAUUGAGCGCAAGGACCUGGAUGUUUCUCCUGAGGUGGAAGACUUGUUCCCAGAAGAGAUCUGCCUCUCUCACUUCAUCGAAGCGUGGAAGUUCAGUGUGGUCUUCAAACAGGAGAACAGCAGUCAGAGAUCUUGAUGUUGACAUGAUCGAUCAGGGAGAUCUGUCCUAGAACAGCUCAGAUAAUGUUUACAUUCUAUUUUGAUAA